Molecule: small nucleolar RNA, 152 nt
Organism: Callithrix jacchus (white-tufted-ear marmoset)
Lineage: Eukaryota; Metazoa; Chordata; Mammalia; Primates; Cebidae
Gene: U3
Rfam family: Small nucleolar RNA U3
About the family: Small nucleolar RNAs (snoRNAs) are involved in the processing and modification of rRNA in the nucleolus.
Source: Ensembl
AAGACUAUACUUUCAGGGAUCAUUUCUAUAGUUUGUUACUAGAGAAGUUUCUCUGAACGUGUAGAGUACCAGAAAUGAUGAGUUUGUGUCGUUUGUAGGGACAUGGAUGAAUCUGGAGAACAUCAUUCUCAGCAAACUGACACAAGAACAGA